Molecule: long non-coding RNA, 369 nt
Filed under: Salvia miltiorrhiza (redroot sage)
Lineage: Eukaryota; Viridiplantae; Streptophyta; Magnoliopsida; Lamiales; Lamiaceae
Description: long non-coding RNA (SMIL_LNC005889)
Source: RNAcentral
GCCGAUUAUCCUUCUUUUCUCGAUCAACUCCAACAGUGUUUCCAUAUACUUGGUCAUUUGAUCAUUAAACCUAUCCAUGUUAGUAGUAAUGUUGGUUAUCCUUGACAUCAUCUAAUGAUACACAGCGGAAUAUACAUUCAAGGAUUAGAUCUAGAUUUACAAAUGCAUCAUGUGUAGAGAUAGGCACACAACGAAAGGAAUAACUUACCCGUUGUGUGGUAAACGUGGGUCUCGAUUCUUGCCGUGAAUCCACUACUAAGGUAUCCACGUGUAUGUCGAUUCGAUGCAGGAACUAUUCCAAGUGCACGAUUCAAUCGUCGACAGCUAGGAAAUCUCCGAUUGAAACUAUAGUGCUCUCUUAGUGUUUGC